This 398-nucleotide ribosomal RNA is filed under the name Anomaloglossus baeobatrachus. RNAcentral's name for it is "partial 16S ribosomal RNA". It matches the Rfam family "Bacterial large subunit ribosomal RNA", at positions 1822 to 2422 of the family's 2925-position model. RNAcentral also lists the same sequence under 1 other name. Lineage: Eukaryota; Metazoa; Chordata; Amphibia; Anura; Aromobatidae. The record is from RNAcentral.
CUUGAUUAAACCAUAAGAGGUCCAGCCUGCCCAGUGACAUUGUUCAACGGCCGCGGUAUCCUAACCGUGCGAAGGUAGCGUAAUCACUUGUCCUUUAAAUGAAGACUAGUAUGAAUGGCCCCACGAAAGCUAUACUGUCUCCUUUUUCUAAUCAGUUAAACUAAUCUCCCCGUGAAGAAGCGGGGAUAAACAUAUAAGACGAGAAGACCCUAUGGAGCUUCAAACAACUGAAACACUUGUAUAUCCUCCCCUCACCUACCAACAUUUAACCUCACAUUUUGUUUCUAGUUUUAGGUUGGGGUGACCACGGAGAAAAAACUAACCUCCACGACGAAAGAGACAUCUCUAAACAAAAAGCUACAUCUUUAUGUAUUAACACAUUAACCUUUAUUGACCCA